CGGACAGAGCCCUGGCUAGGAUGCGGUCAGCACCUUGGACAGCACCAGCAACUCCCAGCCCUUUGGCAGCUCGUCACCCGUGUCUAGGCUACUGACAUCUCUCCCCCCAGUGACACCCCCGAGGAUCUCAUUUAGCGCACAGAGGUAAUAGUCGGUCUUCUGUGUAAAGAUGACAGACAGGAAAAGUUUGCAGAGCAGCAGAGCCGGGAAACGUAAGAAGAAGCUGUGAGAAGGUGAGGAAGGUGGACGGUUCCGUUUUCCUGGCUGAUCUGGAAGGAAGGAUGACCGGAGAAGCAUGUGCACUAGCAGUCAGAUCAUCGGCAGUCUCCUGGUGCUCUCUGUGCUGGAGAUAGGACUGGGCUUAUCCAGCGUGGCAGUGGGAGCUGUCACCUUCAUCAGGGUCAGGAACAGGACGGAGCCACCGCCGCAGCUGGGAGACUCUUCUCCGGUAUGGAGCGGGGCGUGUUUCCUGAUAUGUGGAGUGUGCGGCAUUUUCUGUGCAAAAAAGAAAUCUGGACUCAUAAUGAUUCUUUUUUCUGCCUGCUGCAUCUGUGGACUCAUUGGAGGCAUCCUGAACAUUCAGUUUCUAAGAGCUCUGUCCAAGAGGUCCUCCUUGCACCUUGCUUCCUUGUCUCUCGCAUGUAUAGGCAUCAGCGGAUGCACCAUCUCCACUUGGCUUACUUGUCGCUUGGCCAGUUAUGAGCAAAGGAGGAUGUUUCUAGAAAGAGAACACUCACUUCAUCACUCUCAUGAAAUGACAGAAAAGAUUUAUCAAUCCCCAAACUAAUUUUAUUGACCACGAAUUACAAUUGGCUGGAUUCCUGAACUGUGUGAAUCUCUUUGGAUUAUUCACAUCUAAAUGCAAAUAUUCAGGAAAACAUUGAAAACAUCAGCAAUGGAGGACCACAGCUUGUUUUUAAUGGACGAGUGUAGAACAAUUUUGUAUGAUGCAUAAUGACCAAUUCAAUUUAUACAAGAAGAAGAGAAGAGUUGUGGAACAAUGUUUCUAAAUUAUCCAACAAUGUAUCCAUAUAUCGCAGCAUAUUGCCAUCCACUAACUGCAACCUACAAGAAGCAUUGGUGUAUAAUACCAAAAAAGACUUGUAACAAGGUUAAACAUGUGUUCUUUCUGGAAAUAGGAGACACUGAAAAUUAUGCACAAAGCUAUUAUUAAGCAUGCUACUUUGGAAAGCACAAGGCUUCUAGAGAUAUAUUUUGAAUCUCUUUCACACCAACAUGUUCACACACAAUACAGCGAGCUGAGUAAGUUUGUGUUUCCUUCACAUUCUGAUCCAACCUCAAGAGAAAGUAGUAUGUACUGUAUGUAUUACGCUGUACCAGCAUAAUUCCAAUUCUUAAAUCAUUUGACAUGCCUUAACGAGUGUGUAAACCCAACAUUUCAUAUUCCUGAUAUGUGCCUGCUGUGCCAUGUAUUUGUAUGCAAAAUGAUCAUGUUCUCUUUGUAUUGUUUCCUUUGUGUGAAAUUCCUGGUGUUUCUGCCAGAACCUCUGCUUUCCUGUUAAACUGACCACACCAAGCAGGAGAACACAUUGUGGUCAGCUCUCUAGCUGUGCUGAGAACUGAGCCUGCUCUCCUCCAAUGAUCAGAACCCCCC
Rana temporaria (common frog) is the source of this 1615-nucleotide RNA transcript. It is a transcript of the gene named transmembrane protein 196, with no coding region annotated. The record is from RefSeq and is a predicted model, not a curated record. Lineage: Eukaryota; Metazoa; Chordata; Amphibia; Anura; Ranidae. The transcript has 5 exons.